UCUCCUGGAAAACGGGUGGUAAUGCCGGAUGCUCCGACUCCUCGCAUGGGGUGUCGGGAAAGAUUUCAUCGGUAUGGGAUGGGGUCGCGUCCUAUCAGGUAGUCGGCGGGGUAACGGCCCACCGAGCCUACGACGGGUAGCCGGCCUGAGAGGGCGACCGGCCACAUUGGGACUGAGAUACGGCCCAGACUCCUACGGGAGGCAGCAGUGGGGAAUAUUGCACAAUGGGCGCAAGCCUGAUGCAGCGACGCCGCGUGCGGGAUGACGGCCUUCGGGUUGUAAACCGCUUUUGAUCGGGAGCAAGCCUUCGGGUGAGUGUACCUUUCGAAUAAGCACCGGCUAACUACGUGCCAGCAGCCGCGGUAAUACGUAGGGUGCAAGCGUUAUCCGGAAUUAUUGGGCGUAAAGGGCUCGUAGGCGGUUCGUCGCGUCCGGUGUGAAAGUCCAUCGCUUAACGGUGGAUCUGCGCCGGGUACGGGCGGGCUGGAGUGCGGUAGGGGAGACUGGAAUUCCCGGUGUAACGGUGGAAUGUGUAGAUAUCGGGAAGAAC
This 550-nucleotide ribosomal RNA is filed under the name Bifidobacterium pseudocatenulatum. RNAcentral's name for it is "bacterial SSU rRNA". It matches the Rfam family "Bacterial small subunit ribosomal RNA", at positions 146 to 707 of the family's 1533-position model. Lineage: Bacteria; Bacillati; Actinomycetota; Actinomycetes; Bifidobacteriales; Bifidobacteriaceae. The record is from RNAcentral.